UACGGAGGGUGCAAACGUUGCUCGGAAUUAUUGGGCGUAAAGCGCACGUAGGCGGUUCGGUAAGUCGGAUGUGAAAGCCCUCGGCUCAACCGAGGAAGUGCAUCCGAAACUGCCGAGCUUGAGUACGGAAGAGGGUCUCGGAAUUCCCGGUGUAGAGGUGAAAUUCGUAGAUAUCGGGAGGAACACCAGUGGCGAAGGCGGAGACCUGGGCCGAUACUGACGCUGAGGUGCGAAAGCCAGGGGAGCAAACGGG
RNAcentral lists this ribosomal RNA (253 nucleotides) under uncultured bacterium. RNAcentral's name for it is "partial 16S ribosomal RNA". It matches the Rfam family "Bacterial small subunit ribosomal RNA", at positions 524 to 776 of the family's 1533-position model. The record is from RNAcentral.